UUGUAACUUAAAUUCUACUGGAGUAAUAAAAGUUAAGAUCUUCAAACUCAAAAGAUUUGGCGGUAUUUUAUCUUAUUAGAGGAACCUGCUUAUUAAUUGAUAUUCCACAACUAUAAUUUACUUUUAUCAAAUUACCUGUAUGCCGCCGUCAUGAGUAUACUGGAAAGUUUAUUUUCUUCUUUUUUAUCAAAUUUAUGUUAGGUCAAGGUGCAGUUUAUAAAAGAAUAAUGUGGGUUACAAUAUAAAUUAUGAAUGGAUUGUUUAAUAUAAAAUUAUAAGGAAAAAGGAUUUAAAAGUAAAAUUAUUAUAGAAAUAAUAUGAAUUUAGAUUCUAAAAUAUGU
RNAcentral lists this ribosomal RNA (341 nucleotides) under Trioza sp. 6 S28B. Its description in RNAcentral is "partial 12S ribosomal RNA". The record is from RNAcentral. Lineage: Eukaryota; Metazoa; Arthropoda; Insecta; Hemiptera; Triozidae.